Molecule: ribozyme, 69 nt
Filed under: Bacillus sp. 1751
Lineage: Bacteria; Bacillati; Bacillota; Bacilli; Caryophanales; Bacillaceae
Description: Pistol ribozyme
Rfam family: Pistol ribozyme
Source: RNAcentral
ACUCAACAGAGUGAGUAUAAAAAGGCAUUAUGCUCUGUGCGUCUAGGGGAUUCUUCCUCUAGGGUUGCA